UACGUAGGGCGCAAGCGUUGUCCGGAUUUAUUGGGCGUAAAGAGCUCGUAGGCGGUUUGUCGCGUCUUCCGUGAAAACUGGGGGCUUAACUUCCAGCUUGCGGUGGAUACGGGCUGACUGGAGUGCGGCAGGGGAGACUGGAAUUCCUGGUGUAGCGGUGAAAUGCGCAGAUAUCAGGAGGAACACCGAUGGCGAAGGCAGGUCUCUGGGCAUUAACUGACGCUGAGGAGCGAAAGCAUGGGGAGCGAACAGG
This 253-nucleotide ribosomal RNA is filed under the name uncultured bacterium. Its description in RNAcentral is "partial 16S ribosomal RNA". It matches the Rfam family "Bacterial small subunit ribosomal RNA", at positions 524 to 776 of the family's 1533-position model. The record is from RNAcentral.